UUUCAUUCAACCCAAUUUUCACCAAGUACAUUUUUAAGCAUAAUGCAUUACUCAAAUUGUAGUAACAAUUUAGACAAAGGAAAGGUAUUUACAAAGUGUCAUGUGUACACGUAUGAAUCCAUAUGUAGUCAUCCGCAAGUAUCUACAACAUAGUAGUUUACAAAAACAUCCAUGAAAUGAUAUUUUACAACCUAGAUUGAUAAAAAUAUAUCACUCAACAAUUUAGAAAACAGUGCAAUCCAGUUUGAACAAACAAAACACUUAAACUAUUGAAGUUCUUGUCGUCGGC
RNAcentral lists this long non-coding RNA (289 nucleotides) under Hordeum vulgare. RNAcentral's name for it is "long non-coding RNA (HVUL_LNC018710)". Lineage: Eukaryota; Viridiplantae; Streptophyta; Magnoliopsida; Poales; Poaceae. The record is from RNAcentral.